This is a long non-coding RNA of Pyrgilauda ruficollis (rufous-necked snowfinch), 448 nucleotides long. RefSeq lists it as uncharacterized. The transcript is spliced from 3 exons. The record is from RefSeq and is a predicted model, not a curated record. Lineage: Eukaryota; Metazoa; Chordata; Aves; Passeriformes; Passeridae.
CGAGCGAGGACGGAGAUGGACGAGCGUGAGGAGGCCGGUGAAGCGCGGCGCGGCCUGUGGCUCGUCCCUCAGAGCGCCUUUGCACCCCUGGAAUGCAGAACCUUUACUUGGUGCCACAGAACGGGCUCUGGGGAUCCCCAGGUUCAGCCACGACAUCACAAAAUCGCAGGAUCAUGUGGGUUGAGAAAGACCUCCCAGAUCAUCGGGUCCAACCUGUGAGCACCUUGUCAAUGGGCCAGAGCGCUGAGUGCCACGUCCACCUCCGGGCAUGGGGACUGCCAGCUCCCUGGGCAGCCCCUUCCAAUGUUUAACAACCCAUUCUGUGAAGAAAUUGCUCGUGAUGUCCUCAUAUCCAGGAGUAAAACUGGCCUACCGGGUUAUAACUCCUCCCGGGGAUGAAAGCUGGCUCCAUCUGUCUCUCCCAUUCCCCGGGCCACAGAACUGACAU